Molecule: non-coding RNA, 685 nt
Organism: Ciona intestinalis (vase tunicate)
Lineage: Eukaryota; Metazoa; Chordata; Ascidiacea; Phlebobranchia; Cionidae
Source: RefSeq, a predicted model, not a curated record
CACCGAAAAGAUGUAUUAUUAGAUCAAAAUUAAGAUCAAGAAAGAUUUAAAGAAAAAACAAAUUGGUGGUCUAAGUUUGUUAUCACUUAUUUCAAUGGUUGCUGUUAACUGUAUACUGAUAUACACACCGAAAAGGCACAUUGUUUUUAAGAUGCAAAACCUAAACAGUAGUAUAAGUUUUUUUUUAUUUGGAGGUUUUGUGUAUAUAGCCAUGUAUACCUGCACUUAUAAUCCCUUUCUGUAGCUAUGUACCGUGUAUUUUGCAUGCUGUUAAAUAUUACACCAAUUUAAUUGCUUAUUGCUAUAGAUAAGAUAUUCUAAUCAUUAAUAAUAAGGCAUGACAAAGGACCAUGCUGUAUUUUUCUGUAAUUGUUUGUUGUAAGUUUCAGUUAUCUGAUAUAGGAUUAGGCUAUUAGAUAUGUAUUAUAUGCACAGCACUUGUAGCUGAAUAUAAACUUAUGCCUUAAAUCUGCCUGUUAUCAUCAACAUUUUGUUUACGUCCGGUUUUAAAACUCAACAGUAAUUGAUUGUUUGUAUCCAGUAAAUUAUAUUGUAAUUUUAUAACUUUGUGUAAUAUCUGCUCUAAUACUAUAUUAAAAGUUUGUGUGUACAUAAAGUAAUACUCCCACACCUUAUUUGCUGCAUGAAUACAUAAGUUGUGUAAUAAAUUGAUUCCAAUUUAUAA